This 447-nucleotide long non-coding RNA is filed under the name Setaria italica (foxtail millet). RNAcentral describes it as "long non-coding RNA (SITA_LNC000459)". The record is from RNAcentral. Lineage: Eukaryota; Viridiplantae; Streptophyta; Magnoliopsida; Poales; Poaceae.
CCACGAUGGACCUCUGCUCCAAGUGCUACCGCGACCUCAACCAGCAGCAGCCGGCCGCUGCUCCCGCGCCGCCGGCCUUCCUGCCGUCCUCCUCCACCGCCGCCGCUUCCGUGGCUGGCGUCGCGGCCGUGGCCGAGCCCAAGGCUCCAGCGGCGGUCCCCGCGGGAGGCAGGCAGGCGGGCAGGUGCGCGAGCUGCCGGAAGCGCGUGGGCCUGACGGGGUUCGCGUGCCGCUGCGGCGCCACCUUCUGCGGCGUGCACCGGUACCCGGAGCGCCACGCGUGCGCCUUCGACUUCCGCGCGGCCGGCCGCGACGCCAUCGCGCGCGCCAACCCCGUCGUCAAGGGCGACAAGCUCAAGGACAAGGUCUGAGGGCCAGGAGCCUCGUUCCCUCCAUUCGAUCCCUCGCACUUUUCCUCCACGCGACGCCGGAAGGAGGAGGAGGCGG